AACUUUCUCUUUCAGUUAGUGGCAAUUGUGCUUCUAAUUGUCACCUUCUAAUUGUCAGCAGGUUCGUCUUCCAAACAUUAAUUGUAUAUGGUGACAGAACACUAUCAAUUAGUGGCAAUUGAAAUCCAAAUCAUGACUCUUGAGUACCAUUGGAAUUAAUGGAGGGAGUAUGUACUAAAUAUGAAGUAUAAUACUUUUUUGUAUUCAAUUACCACUGUUGGUGCAAAAAAAAGUGCAUACAGUUGAGCUGCAAUGGGUGAGAAUGAAUCAAACUAAAGGUAUUUGCUCUGACAUGCGCUGUAUGGAUAUACUCCUACUGAACAAGCCAGCGGCUGCAAGAGCAACAACAGCGGCAAAUAUACACAGCAAACACUUG
This 376-nucleotide long non-coding RNA is filed under the name Hordeum vulgare. RNAcentral's name for it is "long non-coding RNA (HVUL_LNC017831)". The record is from RNAcentral. Lineage: Eukaryota; Viridiplantae; Streptophyta; Magnoliopsida; Poales; Poaceae.